Molecule: ribosomal RNA, 494 nt
Filed under: uncultured bacterium
Lineage: Bacteria
Description: partial 16S ribosomal RNA
Rfam family: Bacterial small subunit ribosomal RNA
Source: RNAcentral
GACGAACGCUGGCGGCGUGCUUAACACAUGCAAGUCGAACGGUGAAGCGCCUUCCUUUUUGGUGGGUGUGGAUGAGUGGCGAACGGGUGAGUAACACGUGAGUAACCUGCCCCCUUCUUCUGGAUAACCGCAUGAAAGUGUGGCUAAUACGGGAUAUUCUGGGUCUGUCGCAUGAUGGGUCUGGGAAAGAUAUUGUUUCGGUGGGGGAUGGGCUCGCGGCCUAUCAGCUUGUUGGUGGGGUGAUGGCCUACCAAGGCGGUGACGGGUAGCCGGCCUGAGAGGGUGGACGGUCACACUGGGACGGAGACACGGCCAAGACUCCUACGGGAGGCAGCAGUGGGGAAUAGUGCACAAUGGGCGCAAGCCUGAUGCAGCGACGCCGCGUGAGGGAUGGAGGCCUUCGGGUUGUGAACCUCUUUCGCCAGUGAAGCAGGCCUGCCUCGUUUGUGGGUGGGUUGACGGUAGCUGGAGAAGAAGCGCCGGCUAACUACGUG